GCGGGAGGAGGCAAGCGUUAUCCGGAAUUAUUGGGCGUACAGGGUACGUAGGCGGCUGGGCAAGUCUGGGGUUAAAGGCCACAGCUCAACUGUGGGAAGGCCCUGGAAACUGACCGGCUAGAGUGACGUAGGGGUUGCGGGAAUUCCCGGUGUAGCGGUGAAAUGCGUAGAGAUCGGGAAGAACACCUGAGGCGGAAGCGCGCAACUGGGCCUCAACUGACGCUGAGGUACGAAAGCUAGGGGAGCGAAUGGG
Molecule: ribosomal RNA, 253 nt
Filed under: uncultured bacterium
Lineage: Bacteria
Description: partial 16S ribosomal RNA
Rfam family: Bacterial small subunit ribosomal RNA
Source: RNAcentral